This 253-nucleotide ribosomal RNA is filed under the name uncultured bacterium. RNAcentral describes it as "partial 16S ribosomal RNA". It matches the Rfam family "Bacterial small subunit ribosomal RNA", at positions 524 to 776 of the family's 1533-position model. The record is from RNAcentral.
UACGUAGGGGGCUAGCGUUGUCCGGAUUUAUUGGGCGUAAAGAGCGUGUAGGCGGCCAAAUAGGUCGGUUGUGAAAACUGGAGGCUUAACCUCCAGACGUCGACCGAAACCAUCUGGCUAGAGUCCGGAAGAGGAGAGUGGAAUUCCUGGUGUAGCGGUGAAAUGCGCAGAUAUCAGGAAGAACACCCGUGGCGAAGGCGGCUCUCUGGGACGGUACUGACGCUGAGACGCGAAAGCGUGGGGAGCGAACAGG